UGAAACAAGAUCGCCCUGUAUAGGAGGAC
RNAcentral lists this small RNA (29 nucleotides) under Bombyx mori (domestic silkworm). RNAcentral describes it as "ovarian small RNA-7853". The record is from RNAcentral. Lineage: Eukaryota; Metazoa; Arthropoda; Insecta; Lepidoptera; Bombycidae.